GGUGAAGAUGGAGGGAUAGAGGUGGAGAGAUGAAGGGGCAGGGAUAGGUGGAGUAACUUGAACCCUAAACCUAUACAGAAUAAAAUGCAAGAAAGUUUUGGUGAUGUAGGACAUUUUGUCCUUUCCAGCAUGUCCUUCUAGUGAUGUUCAGGGCACAUAGCUCCAAGCUGUACCCCAUUCUGGCUUCAAGCUCCGGUCCACAGUGCUCUGUUUUAGUCACUCUCACACACACACAUUCACCCCUUUGUACCCUCCAACACACACACACACACAGACAUAGACACAUAGACACACACAGACAUAGACACACGGACACACACACACACACACACACGUAGACACACACACGCAUACAGUAUAUGGAAACACACACAUGUCCUGCUUUAAGCUCAGGUCUAUACUGCUCCCAUGAUGCCCAG
RNAcentral lists this long non-coding RNA (419 nucleotides) under Salmo salar (Atlantic salmon). RNAcentral's name for it is "lncRNA (ENSSSAG00000112939.1)". Lineage: Eukaryota; Metazoa; Chordata; Actinopteri; Salmoniformes; Salmonidae. The record is from RNAcentral.